AGAGUUUGAUCCUGGCUCAGGAUGAACGCUAGCGGCAGGCUUAACACAUGCAAGUCGAGGGGUAACAGGGAUUGCUUGCAAUCCGCUGACGACCGGCGCACGGGUGCGUAACGCGUAUAGAACCUACCUUUUACAGAGGGAUAGCCUUUAGAAAUGAAGAUUAAUACCUCAUAGUACUGAGAAUUGGCAUCGAUUUUUAGUUAAAGAUUUAUCGGUAAAAGAUGGCUAUGCGUCCUAUUAGCUAGAUGGUAAGGUAACGGCUUACCAUGGCAACGAUAGGUAGGGGUCCUGAGAGGGAGAUCCCCCACACUGGUACUGAGACACGGACCAGACUCCUACGGGAGGCAGCAGUGAGGAAUAUUGGACAAUGGGCGAGAGCCUGAUCCAGCCAUGCCGCGUGCAGGAAGACUGCCCUAUGGGUUGUAAACUGCUUUUAUACAGGAAGAAACACUCGGACGUGUCCGAGCUGACGGUAGCGUAAGA
This 483-nucleotide ribosomal RNA is filed under the name uncultured Bacteroidota bacterium. RNAcentral's name for it is "bacterial SSU rRNA". It matches the Rfam family "Bacterial small subunit ribosomal RNA", at positions 8 to 485 of the family's 1533-position model. The record is from RNAcentral. Lineage: Bacteria; Pseudomonadati; Bacteroidota.